GACGAACGCUGGCGGCGUGCUUAACACAUGCAAGUCGAGCGGUAAGGCCCUUUCGGGGGUACACGAGCGGCGAACGGGUGAGUAACACGUGGGUGACCUGCCCUUAGCUCUGGGAUAAGCCUGGGAAACUGGGUCUAAUACCGGAUAUGACUCCAUGACGCAUGUUGUGGGGUGGAAAGCCUUGUGCGGCUAGGGAUGGGCCCGCGGCCUAUCAGCUUGUUGGUGGGGUGAUGGCCACCAAGGCGACGACGGGUAGCCGGCCUGAGAGGGCGACCGGCCACACUGGGACUGAGACACGGCCCAGACUCCUACGGGAGGCAGCAGUGGGGAAUCUUGCGCAAUGGGCGAAAGCCUGACGCAGCGACGCCGCGUGGGGAUGACGGCCUCG
RNAcentral lists this ribosomal RNA (388 nucleotides) under uncultured bacterium. Its description in RNAcentral is "bacterial SSU rRNA". It matches the Rfam family "Bacterial small subunit ribosomal RNA", at positions 28 to 419 of the family's 1533-position model. The record is from RNAcentral.